AGUAUAGGUAUCUUGUUAAUAAUCGAAAUAUGGUUUUAUAAUUUGAAAAAUAAUUUAUAGUUAAGUAGUUUUUAAUGAAAUAUAUUAAUAACUAAAGUUUAAAGUACUGUGAAGGAAAGAAUUAAUUGAAUAAAGAUUUUUAAUAGGAAAUUUUAAUUGCUGUACCUUGUGUAUUAGGGGAGAUUAAUAUAAGUUAGUUAAAUUGAUCAUCUCGAAAUAAAAACAGCUAGUUUUAUAGGAUUAUUUUUGUAGAAUAAAAAUGUUGAAUAUAAAUUUAAAGGUGAAAUGCCAGUCGAGUUUUAUGAUAUCUAGUUUUUUCAAAUAUAAAUUUAAUUUAGGUUUUAUGUUAAUAAGAUUUAAAAUCAAAGUAUAGGAGGGAGUAGCUUCUUAUAUGAUAUAUUGAAAAGUUUAGUAUGAAGAACAUAUUUGAAUUAGGCUUUAAAGUAGCUAUAAUAAUAUAGUGUUUUAACUAAGUAUAGUGUUUAAAAAUAUUUAUAUUUACUUUGGGAGUGUAUGAAAAAAUUAAUUGGAAUAAAAUAAAUUAAGAUAUAAUGAUUUUAUUAGUAAAGUUGUAUUGUAAAGGGAAAUACUUAAAUAGUAGUGUGUUUUAUGAAAUAGUAUGGAAGUACAAAGGAACUCGGCAAAUAUUUUUCUUGCCUGUUUAUCAAAAACAUGUCUGUUUGAAGAUAUAAGAAGUUCGGCCUGCCCACUGAUGUAGUUUAAAGGGCCGCGGUAUUUUGACCGUGCGAAGGUAGCAUAAUCGUUAGGUUUUUAAUUGAGAUCUAGAAUGAAUGGUUUGACAAAGAAAAAUCUGUCUUUGUGUUUAAUAAUUGAAUUUAACUUUUAAGUGAAAAGGCUUAAAUAAAUUAAAGGGACGAUAAGACCCUAUAAAACUUGAUGUAAGGUUUUACUAAGUUAAAAUUUAAGUUUUAAAGAUUUAGUGAAAUUUUUAUAUUAUAUUGGGGUGAUAAAUACAAAAUGUUUAUUAACUGUGAGAAACUGGAGACAAAAAUAGGUGGUUAAGAUGAUUAAUUGAUCCUAAUUAAAGAUUAAAAAUUUAAGUUACUUUAGGGAUAACAGCGUUAUUUUCUUUGAGAGUUCUUAUCGAAAAGAGAGUUUGCGACCUCGAUGUUGAAUUAAAAUUUCUA
This 1148-nucleotide ribosomal RNA is filed under the name Ilyoplax formosensis. Its description in RNAcentral is "partial 16S ribosomal RNA". The record is from RNAcentral. Lineage: Eukaryota; Metazoa; Arthropoda; Malacostraca; Decapoda; Dotillidae.